AGGCAGGCUAUGUUCGUCUCCAAGGCCCAAGGAGAAUUCGGUUAUCGGCCAAUCAGAGCCCACGGCGGUCUCCGGAGCCCGCACCCGUCAGCCAAUUGGGGGCUCGGGUACACUGACCGCGGCUUCUAAGGAAUCGAGGCCCUGGAGAGCAAAUUACCUUUGAGGUCCUCACGUCACCAAAGGCUGUCAUGCAGUGCAGAAAAGCAAGAAUCGAUGGGGAUACGUAAAAGUGACAUAAGCCAGCUCCUGAUUCUUGAUACAGUUUGUGCCAGAUAUCGGAGAUAGGCUUGGCACCUGGCAGGAGAACAACAAACAGUAUGAAAAUGAAUGAAUGUGAUGGCUUUUUAAGGAAGAAAGCAGGGCCUUGCCCCACGAACAGGCUGGAAGGUGCCCCAGGCCCAGAGGU
Molecule: long non-coding RNA, 406 nt
Organism: Lutra lutra (Eurasian river otter)
Lineage: Eukaryota; Metazoa; Chordata; Mammalia; Carnivora; Mustelidae
Exons: 3
Source: RefSeq, a predicted model, not a curated record